CCAAUAGCGUAUAUUAAAGUUGUUGCAGUUAAAAAGCUCGUAGUUGAAUUUCGAGAUCAAAUUGUUGGUCGUGCCUUGGUACGUACUGGCAUUAUUGGUUUCUCCCUUCUGACGAACCAUGAUGUCAUUAAUUUGGUGUCUUGGGGAAUCAGGACUGUUACUUUGAAAAAAUUAGAGUGUUUAAAGCAGGCUCACGCUUGAAUACAUUAGCAUGGAAUAAUGAAAUAGGACGUUUGAUUCUAUUUUGUUGGUUUCUAGGAUCGACGUAAUGAUUAAUAGGGAUAGUUGGGGCAUUAGUAUUCAAUUGUCAGAGGUGAAAUUCUUGGAUUUAUUGAAGACUAACUACUGCGAAAGCAUUUGCCAAGGAUGUUUUCAUUAAUCAAGAACGAAAGUUAGGGGAUCGAAGACGAUCAGAUACCGUCGUAGUCUUAACCAUAAACUAUGCCGACUAGGGAUCGGAUGAUGUUAAUUUUUUAAUGACUCAUUCGGCGCCUUACG
RNAcentral lists this ribosomal RNA (498 nucleotides) under uncultured Glomeromycotina. RNAcentral describes it as "partial small subunit ribosomal RNA". It matches the Rfam family "Eukaryotic small subunit ribosomal RNA", at positions 591 to 1092 of the family's 1831-position model. Lineage: Eukaryota; Fungi; Glomeromycota. The record is from RNAcentral.